Molecule: ribosomal RNA, 121 nt
Filed under: Nelumbo nucifera (sacred lotus)
Lineage: Eukaryota; Viridiplantae; Streptophyta; Magnoliopsida; Proteales; Nelumbonaceae
Source: RNAcentral
GGAUGCGAUCAUACCAGCACUAAUGCACCGGAUCCCAUCAGAACUCCGAAGUUAAGCGUGCUUGGGCGAGAGUAGUACUAGGAUGGGUGACCUCCUGGGAAGUCCUCGUGUUGCAUUCCCA